This is an RNA transcript of Stegostoma tigrinum, 481 nucleotides long. RefSeq lists it as uncharacterized. The record is from RefSeq and is a predicted model, not a curated record. The transcript is spliced from 4 exons. NCBI's taxonomy places the organism in Eukaryota, Metazoa, Chordata, Chondrichthyes, Orectolobiformes, Stegostomatidae.
UCUCAGGGAGAUAUCUGUACACUGACUGGUGUCUCUCAGUCCCCUCUCUCUCUCUCUCAGGGAGAUAUCUGUACACUGACUGGUGUCUCUCAUGGGUUUAUUGGUUGUGUUUCUGUCACCCUUAGGUCGGUCACCAGGCAGGGGAGCAGUUCACGUUUCAUUGGUGGGAUCAUGUGUUCAACCAGGCAGCAGCCAAUAUCUCUGUGGAAACCAAAGAGGAUGGGGUGGAGGUGAAGAAUCUUGCCGAGGGAGGGGACGUGUCAGUCACCAACACGAAGCCUCGCAAGGCCCGACUUUGCAAGGAGCUGCUGUACGGGCGGUUCAUCAAGGCUGACACCCUGACUCCUGGCAGCGAGGCGACGCUGGUAAAAUCCGAGAGCACCAACGACAGCGAUGAGGACGACAGCCUUGACCUCUCCUCGACCAGAAGACUGACAGAUGAAGAAUUGGUACGGGCGUGCGGGGGCCGAACUGGGCACAA